GUUAGUUGGUGAGGUAACGGCUCACCAAAACGAUGAUGUCUAGGGGUUCUGAGAGGAUUAUCCCCCACACUGGUACUGAGACACGGACCAGACUCCUACGGGAGGCAGCAGUGAGGAAUAUUGGUCAAUGGACGCAAGUCUGAACCAGCCAUGCCGCGUGCAGGAUGACGGCCCUAUGGGUUGUAAACUGCUUUUCCACGGGAAGAACCCUCCGACGUGUCGGAGACUGACGGUACCGUGGGAAUAAGCAUCGGCUAACUCCGUGCCAGCAGCCGCGGUAAUACGGAGGAUGCAAGCGUUAUCCGGAUUUAUUGGGUUUAAAGGGUGCGUAGGUGGGCUUAUAAGUCAGCGGUGAAAUCCCCCGGCUCAACCAGGGAAUUGCCGUUGAUACUGUUAGCCUUGAGUACAGUUGAAGUGGGCGGAAUGUAGCAUGUAGCGGUGAAAUGCAUAGAUAUGCUACAGAACACCAAUAGCGAAGGCAGCUCACUAAGUUGUAACUGACACUAAUGCACGAAAGCGUGGGGAUCAAACAGGAUUAGAUACCCUGGUAGUCCACGCUGUAAACGAUGAUCACUCGUUGUUGGCGAUAUACAGUCAGCGACUGAA
RNAcentral lists this ribosomal RNA (606 nucleotides) under uncultured bacterium. RNAcentral's name for it is "bacterial SSU rRNA". It matches the Rfam family "Bacterial small subunit ribosomal RNA", at positions 244 to 851 of the family's 1533-position model. The record is from RNAcentral.